GUUUGUUACGUGCUCUAAUGUUAUUGUACGUUAAUGCUUUCAUUUUGAUUAGUUAACACCCAUACUCGGGCUAGUCCGGAUGCUCACCCGAAUAGGUAGAGUAUAAAAGGAAGCCAUUUUGGUUUUUUUAGUGGGUUGUGCUGUUAAUACGUGCCUUCUUUAAUAAAGUGCCAGUCUCGCGUCAUAUUAUUGGAAGGAACCCAUGACCGCCGGCCAAAAACUGACAGGUUGUGAUCUCAGUGAAGAGGUAGAUACGCAGUAUUAGAGGGCGUGGCCUGAAGAAAUGAGACUGGGUAUAUUACUUCAGAACAUAAAAAUACAAUGCAAGAACAUAACUUUAAAAAUGGUGUUUUUGGGGGGAUGUGAAAUAAAUAAAAAACCUCGCAGCCUCAAAACAGAAGCUGUAUCCAAACAGCCUUUAAUAAAUCCCAAACUUUACUUGAAUACAUACAACAAGCGUUAAGAAUUACAACGUCUUCAGCAUCUACAGUGAGGUCACACACACACACACACACACACAGUAGAAAAACUGAUUUCAUUACACUAGUUGAGCAAUGUAAAAUCAUGCGGUCACUCAACUAAUCUUAAAGGCUCAUAAAAGAAAAAAAUUAUGACAAAGUUAAAUGUAUCGAGUCUGUCAAAACUAAAAACAAAACUACGAUAAAACAAAAAAGGAAACACAAAUUGUCCUCACUUUUUCCAAAAACGGUGAAAAUGGUUGUCAAGAGCCCCAUACCCCUUGUCGAUAUAAUGAUAACGAGUGAAAAACUAAGAAUUUGUAAAAUAAGAGUUCAUCUGUACAAAACAGGCAAACAAACUACUCCGAUCAUUCUGUCUCUACACAGCCAUCUCCUCAGAAUCUGUUUUACUCUCAACUUCAUGCAACAACGCGUCAGGUUUGCCUUGCUUUGACCCCACAACAGAGGCUAUAAUGUUUUCUAGGUGAGGAUUUCCCUUCGCUUCCUCCUCAACUCUUUCAAACACCUCCCCAUACCCAUCUUUCUUCAGAUUAUCCACAAAGUUUUCAAAUAUAGUGAGCAGAGGAAAGGCGUACUCAAUCACACUCUCGCUAAGGUUCGGAAACCCGUAGAAAAACCCGCCGCUGUGCAGACCAAACACUCGUCCCUCGGCAUCGAAAACCGGGGAGCCGGUGUUCUGGGAAUUUCUCCUACCCCGCAAACCGUCCUACCCGUUGUUCCUGAGCAUGUGCGCGCAUGCGCACAACACAUAAAGCGAAGCAAAGCACAUCCGGCUGUGAUUUAAUGCUACCCCGUUGUCAUAUUUGCAGGAAAAUAGCUUCGGUGAAGUCUGCUGUCAAGUUACUGGACACGUGGUAUUUGCACAACACUUCUGAAUCCGCAGCUUCGGUGUUUUAAGGCUGUUUCGAUAUGGAGAAGAAGUGGGAAGAGAUUUACGCGUUUAUUUCUGCGGGCUCCUACCCUUCAGGAUAUGACAAGGCUCAGAGGCAAAACCUCAGAAGAUAUGCCUCAAAAUUCCAACAAAAGGAUGGAGAACUCUUUGUUGGAACCAGAAAAGUAGUAAAA
Oreochromis aureus is the source of this 1544-nucleotide long non-coding RNA. RefSeq lists it as uncharacterized. The transcript has 4 exons. Lineage: Eukaryota; Metazoa; Chordata; Actinopteri; Cichliformes; Cichlidae. The record is from RefSeq and is a predicted model, not a curated record.